This 497-nucleotide ribosomal RNA is filed under the name uncultured bacterium. RNAcentral describes it as "partial 16S ribosomal RNA". It matches the Rfam family "Bacterial small subunit ribosomal RNA", at positions 28 to 507 of the family's 1533-position model. The record is from RNAcentral.
GAUGAACGCUGGCGGCGUGCCUAAUACAUGCAAGUCGAGCGAACAGACGAGGAGCUUGCUCCUCUGACGUUAGCGGCGGACGGGUGAGUAACACGUGGAUAACCUACCUAUAAGACUGGGAUAACUUCGGGAAACCGGAGCUAAUACCGGAUAAUAUAUUGAACCGCAUGGUUCAAUAGUGAAAGACGGUUUUGCUGUCACUUAUAGAUGGAUCCGCGCCGCAUUAGCUAGUUGGUAAGGUAACGGCUUACCAAGGCAACCAUGCGUAGCCGACCUGAUGGGGGGGUCGGCCGCACUGGAAGGGAGACGCGGUCCAGGCGCCUACGGGAGGCAGCAGUAGGGAAUCUGACGCAAUGGGCGGAAGCCUGACGGAGCAGCGGGGCGUGAGUGAUGGAGGUGUUCGGAGCGUAAAACUCUGUUAUUAGGGAAGAACAAAUGUGGAAGUAACUAUGCAGGUCUUGACGGUACCUGGUCAGAAAGCCACGGCUAACUACGUG